GGCAGCCUGGCUCCGGGUGCUCGGUUCCCGGCUGAGCCGGGGAGGCUGCGGGUCGAUCCGUGAUGGCUCCGUCUGGUGGGGCUGUCCCCGGACCGUCCUCUCGCUUCCCGACAGGCCCUGCUCUCAGCCACAUUUCCUCUGAGCUCAGCAUACAGAGGGUCCCUAAAAAUAGCAGCUACUCCUCAAGAAAAUGGCUCUGGAGAGGCUGCAGGGAAGGGGCUGAGAGUCCCCGCCCCAGGCAGGGGUUCCGCAGGGGUCGUACUAUGUUCAGGUGGCAGCUUAAGAAGGCCCAUGCACAGCCUUGGAGGAUUGAAUGAAUUAGAAAGCUGAAGGAAAUGGUGUGAGAUGAGCGGAGUUUGCUUCAGGCUGAAAGCGCGCGCGGUCCUGUUUGGUGUUUAAGACGAGGACCGGCAGAAGAAGCCGCUCACAGACUGAAUGCGCAGCACAAGUGAUUUGAAAGCUCCUGGCCCUUUGCCACAAGCAUGGACAUUGCUGCUUCAGUGAAUGUGUCUCUCCAUUGGAAGGGAAGGGAAAAAAAAUGUUAAGGGUAGGAUACACCAUGGAGCUGCUCGCAUCCUUGGAGAGACAAAAAAAGAGAGGGCUUGAGGAACAAGCUUGUGAAGAAUAUCAGAGGGGGAGCCACUCAGCUCGGAGAUGGCGUUCCUCAAAGGUUGGCAGCGUAUAUACACCUCCUGGACAGCAUGGGCAAUGAUUGCCUUGUGACCUUGAGGUAUUCUGCAGUCUCUCCUCUUUCAAAUGCAUUUUGUUGGAUGUGGCUUUUGCUGAAAAAAGAAACCCAAGGCACAAAUGCCUUUCUCAGCAUGUCACAACUUUUCUGACCAACCCACAUAGACAAACUGGAGACCUUGAGUACACACACUUCUGUUCUGUAUAAACAGUUUAAAGUAGAUUUUAGCUUUGCACAGCAUUAUGUACAGCUUCUAUUUUUAAAUGCACAGCAAUUAACCUGAUGUGCUCAUUCCCUUUUUGCGUGUGCCCUCCAUUGAUGCUUUUGAGUUCUGUACAUGUCCAGUCCCUGCCUUAUCUAAAAAACAAAUACAUACGUACUUUUUAAAUUAGCUAAUUAAUAAUACCAAGAUUUCCCUCCCUCCACCAAUAAAUAUAGGUAUGAAGCGUGAAAAAAAUCCUCACAGUGUGUCGUGUGCAUAUUAAAAUAUGCCAGCAGUUGUGAUUAAAAUCUCUCACAAACAUGCCAAUGUUGUUGACAACUUGCUUCUAGCCUGGAGGAGGACAGUACAUCCCUCAGUUUGUGCCUCUGAGUGACUGAACAUCCCAGAGAUGCCUCUGUGUUGAGGUGGCUCAAGGCAUUCAUCAGCUCUUCUUGCUUCCUUCUUUAGCCCAUCUGCAAGACUCCACCCACAUACGAGCAAAUAUUUUGGCAGUUGCUUAUUGUACCUUGUGGAAGGGGCAUUUACUUCUCAUCCACAGCAAGCCUCUCCAUCUGUCAUUCAGGCUUCCACGUGCAGAUUUCAUUGCAACUCUAGAACUGCUCAGGGUAGGGUGAGAAGCUCUGCUGUCUAAAUAGCAUGUAAAAUCCUGCUGUGCAGGGAAGCAUAGGCCAAAGACACUACCUGUAGGGCAGUGAAGUGGAACCAGCAUGGUGGUGACGGUGACCAUGACCACGAGUGACCAUGCUCAUAGUCAGAAUUACUGCAGCUGAGUGGAUAUACGAAGCCCACAAGUCAUGUCUCGAACAUUUACUCUUAAGAUGGACUGCCAGGGGAUGGAGGAAAGGAAAUCUAUUUUCCUGCUAUAUAUGUGGCUGGUGUCUGAGCAGCAUGGGCAGAGGGCUGAUUUUUCACUCCAUCCUUUAGCCUGGCCUUUGCUUGAAAACUGCAGAAGGAAACCAAGGAUGAAUUAUGCUUCUGUGAAAACUCAGUGCACAUCUCUAAUCUGGCAAGACAGAGUAACACUUCAAGGAGAAUCCCAGAGCUGAAAAGAAACAAGAGCUAGU
Pezoporus occidentalis (night parrot) is the source of this 1975-nucleotide long non-coding RNA. RefSeq lists it as uncharacterized. The transcript is spliced from 3 exons. The record is from RefSeq and is a predicted model, not a curated record. Lineage: Eukaryota; Metazoa; Chordata; Aves; Psittaciformes; Psittacidae.